CUCGGAUCGUUAAUUCUGCAUUCAUCAAAACAGGCUAGAAAAACAUCUGAUCAAAUUCUGUACAGCAGCAACAGUAUGGACAUGACUAUACAGAUACAGGUGUCAACUGUCAACAACUGACUGCAGUGAAGAAUGAAGAGUCCAGUUUAGAAGGCAGCACUGUGACUUUGACCUACAAAUACUCCCAACAAGCUACUGGUGGUGAUCAGUUUUUCUGGUAUCGACAACAUUCAGGAAAUCCUCCAGAGUUCCUCAUCUAUCACUAUGGAACACAAAGUGAAACAAAAGCCAGACUGUCUGUAACUGUGAGUGAUGAUAAAAACCAGAUCAGUAUGAAGAUCUUCCUCUGCUGCAGUGACAGACUCUGCUGUGUACUACUGUGCUGUGAAGCCCACAGUGACAGGAAACAGUAAAACUCUGUACAAAAACCUUUGGAGCAAAGACAACAGAAAACUCCACAACAUCCACUGGAGGGAGACACACUCUGUUAAAGCUCUGAUUUGUGACUUGUUGGACUGAUGGCAAAGACAACAGAGAAAUGAAGCAGCAAAGAUCAGAGACAGAGCUGCUGUGGAAACACAAAACAAUUUGAUUGGCUGAGCUGACCUGAAAAAAUGAUGUCAAGAGGUAAUGGCCCCGCCCACUGAACUUCAGCUCAUCCACUCACAUUAUUUCUUCCUCAUUGUGCUGCAGUGGAAGAACAUUGUUCAUCUGAUGUGUGUCUGACUUUAAUAACUCCAAAGACAUGUUGCUUUACCUCUUUUUGUUUUCAUCUCACUUCAUAGGACUAAAAGCUGAAGACACAAUCUCUCCUGAACGAGAUGAAGUCAGUGGAACAGAAGGAGAAUCUGUCACACUCAGGUGUAACUAUCAGACAGAUGAUAAUGACAUUACUCUAGACUGGUACAAACAUCAUUCUGACCUUCAGGCUCCUCAGUUCAUACUCUGGAAAGGAGCAAAGGGGAGCACAGAUGAACACAUUCCUGAUCAGCGAUAUGAAUCCCAAACAACAGAUACAUCAACUACAUUGACCAUCAAUCAGCUAACCCUGGCAGACACAGCUCUCUACUACUGUGCUCUAGAGACACAGUGAUACAAAGUGUAGCAGAGGCUGUACAAAAACCUGAACACAGAUAUGAGACUCCUCUUCAAAGAGGAGGGAAGUGGUAUUGAGAGCACAGCUUCAUAUCAGAUGGAUUGUGCUAAUUCCUGUUUUCUCACAGUCACUGUGGUUACAGCUGCUGAUGAAACACUGUGGGAGGAUUGACAGGAGCAGCAGAUCAGUGAUGCCUCCAGAAGAGAUGCUGCAGAGGAUUUGAGAGGAAAAGUUGGUCUACAAAAACACAUCUAGAGUUUAUCUAUGAUUCAAAUACUGAAAAUUUUGUCCUUGAUGAUACAGCAACAUAAGACGCAAUAAAACAUGUUGUUUUUGACUGA
Molecule: long non-coding RNA, 1437 nt
Organism: Acanthochromis polyacanthus (spiny chromis)
Lineage: Eukaryota; Metazoa; Chordata; Actinopteri; Pomacentridae
Exons: 3
Source: RefSeq, a predicted model, not a curated record